Long non-coding RNA from Oncorhynchus keta (chum salmon), 2064 nucleotides. RefSeq lists it as uncharacterized. The record is from RefSeq and is a predicted model, not a curated record. NCBI's taxonomy places the organism in Eukaryota, Metazoa, Chordata, Actinopteri, Salmoniformes, Salmonidae. The transcript is spliced from 4 exons.
CACAUGCUACUGAAGGUUUAAAGAGUUCUCACCUGUAGCCCACAUGCUACUGAAGGUGUAAAGAGUUCUCACCUGUAGCCCACAUGCUACUGAAGGUUUAAAGAGUUCUCACCUGUAGCCCACAUGCUACUGAAGGUGUAAAGAGUUCUCACCUGUAGCCCACAUGCUACUGAAGGUUUAAAGAGUUCUCACCUGUAGCCCACAUGCUACUGAAAGUGUAAAGAGUUCUCACCUGUAGCCCACAUGCUAAUGAAGGUGUAAAGAGUUCUCACCUGUAGCCCACAUGCUACUGAAUGUGUAAAGAGUUCUCACCUGUAGCCCACAUGCUACUGAAGAUGUAAAGAGUUCUCACCUGUAGCCCACAUGCUACUGAAGGUGUAAAGAGUUCUCACCUGUAGCCCACAUGCUAAUGAAGGUGUAAAGAGUUCUCACCUGUAGCCCACAUGCUACUGAAGGUGUAAAGAGUUCUCACCUGUAGCCCACAUGCUACUGAAGGUGUAAAGAGUUCUCACCUGUAGCCCACAUGCUACUGAAGGUGUAAAGAGUUCUCACCUGUAGCCCACAUGCUAAUGAAGGUGUAAAGAGUUCUCACCUGUAGCCCACAUGCUACUGAAGGUUUAAAGAGUUCUCACCUGUAGCCCACAUGCUACUGAAGGUUUAAAGAGUUCUCACCUGUAGCCCACAUGCUACUGAAGGUGUAAAGAGUUCUCACCUGUAGCCCACAUGCUACUGAAGGUGUAAAGAGUUCUCACCUGUAGCCCACAUGCUAAUGAAGGUGUAAAGAGUUCUCACCUGUAGCCCACAUGCUACUGAAGGUGUAAAGAGUUCUCACCUGUAGCCCACAUGCUACUGAAGGUGUAAAGAGUUCUCACCUGUAGCCCACAUGCUACUGAAGGUGUAAAGAGUUCUCACCUGUAGCCCACAUGCUAAUGAAGGUGUAAAGAGUUCUCACCUGUAGCCCACAUGCUACUGAAGGUGUAAAGAGUUCUCACCUGUAGCCCACAUGCUACUGAAGGUGUAAAGAGUUCUCACCUGUAGCCCACAUGCUAAUGAAGGUGUAAAGAGUUCUCACCUGUAGCCCACAUGCUAAUGAAGAUGCAAAGAGUUCUCACCUGUAGCCCACAUGCUAAUGAAGGUGUAAAGAGUUCUCACCUGUAGCCCACAUGCUACUGAAGGUGUAAAGAGUUCUCACCUGUAGCCCACAUGCUACUGAAGGUGUAAAGAGUUCUCACCUGUAGCCCACAUGCUACUGAAGGUGUAAAGAGUUCUCACCUGUAGCCCACAUGCUACUGAAGGUGUAAAGAGUUCUCACCUGUAGCCCACAUGCUACUGAAGGUGUAAAGAGUUCUCACCUGUAGCCCACAUGCUACUGAAGGUGUAAAGAGUUCUCACCUGUAGCCCACAUGCUAAUGAAGGUGUAAAGAGUUCUCACCUGUAGCCCACAUGCUAAUGAAGGUGUAAAGAGUUCUCACCUGUAGCCCACAUGCUACUGAAGGUGUAAAGAGUUCUCACCUGUAGCCCACAUGCUACUGAAGGUGUAAAGAGUUCUCACCUGUAGCCCACAUGCUACUGAAGGUGUAAAGAGUUCUCACCUGUAGCCCACAUGCUAAUGAAGGUGUAAAGAGUUCUCACCUGUAGCCCACAUGCUAAUGAAGGUGUAAAGAGUUCUCACCUGUAGCCCACAUGCUACUGAAGGUGUAAAGAGUUCUCACCUGUAGCCCACAUGCUACUGAAGGUGUAAAGAGUUCUCACCUGUAGCCCACAUGCUAAUGAAGGUGUAAAGAGUUCUCACCUGUAGCCCACAUGCUACUGAAGGUGUAAAGAGUUCUCACCUGUAGCCCACAUGCUAAUGAAGGUGUAAAGAGUUCUCACCUGUAGCCCACAUGCUACUGAAGGUGUAAAGAGUUCUCACCUGUAGCCCACAUGCUAAUGAAGGUGUAAAGAGUUCUCACCUGUAGCCCACAUGCUAAUGAAGGUGUAAAGAGUUCUCACCUGUAGCCCACAUGCUACUGAAGGUGUAAAGAGUUCUCACCUGUAGCCCACAUGCUAAUGAAGGUGUAAAGA